RNAcentral lists this ribosomal RNA (495 nucleotides) under uncultured bacterium. Its description in RNAcentral is "partial 16S ribosomal RNA". It matches the Rfam family "Bacterial small subunit ribosomal RNA", at positions 28 to 507 of the family's 1533-position model. The record is from RNAcentral.
GACGAACGCUGGCGGCGUGCCUAAUACAUGCAAGUAGAACGCUGAAGGAGGAGCUUGCUCUUCUGGAUGAGUUGCGAACGGGUGAGUAACGCGUAGGUAACCUGCCUGGUAGCGGGGGAUAACUAUUGGAAACGAUAGCUAAUACCGCAUAACAGUAGAUGUUGCAUGACAUUUACUUAAAAGGUGCAAUUGCAUCACUACCAGAUGGACCUGCGUUGUAUUAGCUAGUUGGUGGGGUAACGGCUCACCAAGGCGACGAUACAUAGCCGACCUGAGAGGGUGAUCGGCCACACUGGGACUGAGACACGGCCCAGACUCCUACGGGAGGCAGCAGCAGGGAAUCUUCGGCAAUGGACGGAAGUCUGACCGAGCAACGCCGCGUGAGUGAAGAAGGUUUUCGGAUCGUAAAGCUCUGUUGUAAGAGAAGAACGAGUGUGAGAGUGGAAAGUUCACACUGUGACGGUAUCUUACCAGAAAGGGACGGCUAACUACGUG